AGGAUGAACGCUGGCGGCAUGCCUAACACAUGCAAGUCGAACGGUCCUUUUAGGACAGUGGCGGACGGGUGAGUAACACGUUGGUACCUUCCCCGGAGUGGGGGAUAAUUCGCCGAAAGGCGGACUAAUACCCCAUGGUCUUGCACUUGUUGCAAGUAAAGAUUUAUUGCUCUGGGAUGGGCCUGCGGUUGAUUAGCUUGUUGGUGAGGUAAUGGCUCACCAAGGCGACGAUUAAUAGCUGGAUCGAGAGGUUGACCAGCCACACUGGGACUGAGAUACGGCCCAGACUCCUACGGGAGGCAGCAGUGAGGAAUUUUCCGCAAUGGGCGAAAGCCUGACGGAGCAAUGCCGCGUGAAGGAGAAGCCUUUCGGGGUGUAAACUUCUUUUAUCAGGGAAGAAGACAUGACGGUACCUGAUGAAUAAGCAUCGGCUAACUACGUGCCAGCAGCCGC
This 453-nucleotide ribosomal RNA is filed under the name uncultured bacterium. Its description in RNAcentral is "SSU rRNA". It matches the Rfam family "Bacterial small subunit ribosomal RNA", at positions 26 to 518 of the family's 1533-position model. The record is from RNAcentral.